AUAUCUCUCUGUACGGGAAGGAUGAGAAGCUUCGACUAAGGUUCGAUUCGAGCGCAGCGAGAAAGCGUUGCCGUAGGCAACGACCCGAAGGGCGAAGCGCGCAGCGCUGAG
This 111-nucleotide small RNA is filed under the name Salmonella enterica. RNAcentral's name for it is "partial RtT sRNA". It matches the Rfam family "RtT RNA", at positions 1 to 110 of the family's 130-position model. From Rfam's summary of the family: This family represents a bacterial cis-regulatory element known as RtT RNA. Lineage: Bacteria; Pseudomonadati; Pseudomonadota; Gammaproteobacteria; Enterobacterales; Enterobacteriaceae. The record is from RNAcentral. RNAcentral also lists the same sequence under 1 other name.